GCUCCCGUAGUCUAGUGGAUAUUUAAUGAAACCAUAAAGGACACAAGAUUGCGGAUCUUGAGACCGGAGUUCGAUUCUCCGCGGGAGCG
This 89-nucleotide transfer RNA is filed under the name Candidatus Woesearchaeota archaeon. RNAcentral's name for it is "tRNA-Arg". It matches the Rfam family "tRNA". Rfam says of the family: Transfer RNA (tRNA) molecules are approximately 80 nucleotides in length. Their secondary structure includes four short double-helical elements and three loops (D, anti-codon, and T loops). Further hydrogen bonds mediate the characteristic L-shaped molecular structure. tRNAs have two regions of fundamental functional importance: the anti-codon, which is responsible for specific mRNA codon recognition, and the 3' end, to which the tRNAs corresponding amino acid is attached (by aminoacyl-tRNA synthetases). tRNAs cope with the degeneracy of the genetic code in two manners: having more than one tRNA (with a specific anti-codon) for a particular amino acid; and 'wobble' base-pairing, i.e. permitting non-standard base-pairing at the 3rd anti-codon position. The record is from RNAcentral. Lineage: Archaea; Nanobdellati; Candidatus Woesearchaeota.